This 243-nucleotide ribosomal RNA is filed under the name uncultured bacterium. RNAcentral's name for it is "partial 16S ribosomal RNA". It matches the Rfam family "Bacterial small subunit ribosomal RNA", at positions 15 to 254 of the family's 1533-position model. The record is from RNAcentral.
GAUCAUGGCUCAGGAUGAACGCUAGCGGCAGGCCUAACACAUGCAAGUCGAGGGGCAGCACGGUGUGGCAAUACACUGGUGGCGACCGGCGCACGGGUGCGUAACGCGUAUGCAACCUACCCGUAACAGGGGGAUAACACUGAGAAAUUGGUACUAAUACCCCAUAACAUCAGGACCGGCAUCGGUUCUGGUUGAAAACUCCGGUGGUUAUGGAUGGGCAUGCGUUGUAUUAGCUGGUUGGUG